AGCGGCGGACGGGUGAGUAACGCGUGGGAAUAUGCCCUUCUCUAAGGAAUAGCCUCUGGAAACGGAGAGUAAUACCUUAUACGCCCUUCGGGGGAAAGAUUUAUCGGAGAAGGAUUAGCCCGCGUUAGAUUAGGUAGUUGGUGGGGUAAUGGCCUACCAAGCCUACGAUCUAUAGCUGGUUUGAGAGGAUGAUCAGCCACACUGGGACUGAGACACGGCCCAGACUCCUACGGGAGGCAGCAGUAGGGAAUCUUAGACAAUGGGGGCAACCCUGAUCUAGCCAUGCCGCGUGUGUGAUGAAGGCCCUAGGGUCGUAAAGCACUUUCGCCAGAGAUGAUAAUGACAGUAUCUGGUAAAGAAACCCCGGCUAACUCCGUGCCAGCAGCCGCGGUAAUACGGAGGGGGUUAGCGUUGUUCGGAAUUACUGGGCGUAAAGCGCACGUAGGCGGAUUAGUAAGUUAGAGGUGAAAUCCCAGGGCUCAACCCUGGAACUGCCUUUAAUACUGCUAGUCUUGAGUUCGAGAGAGGUAAGUGGAAUUCCGAGUGUAGAGGUGAAAUUCGUAGAUAUUCGGAGGAACACCAGUGGCGAAGGCGGCUUACUGGCUCGAUACUGACGCUGAGGUGCGAAAGUGUGGGGAGCAAACAGGAUUAGAUACCCUGGUAGUCCACACCGUAAACGAUGAAUGCCAGACGUCAGCAAGUAUACUUGUUGGUGUCA
RNAcentral lists this ribosomal RNA (718 nucleotides) under uncultured Paracoccaceae bacterium. RNAcentral's name for it is "bacterial SSU rRNA". It matches the Rfam family "Bacterial small subunit ribosomal RNA", at positions 94 to 848 of the family's 1533-position model. Lineage: Bacteria; Pseudomonadati; Pseudomonadota; Alphaproteobacteria; Rhodobacterales; Paracoccaceae. The record is from RNAcentral.